GUCUCUUUCACUAUCACUUCCCUGAAGUCAUCUCGGGAGGUCUAGGAUCCUUCAGUGUUGUUUCUCAGGUAUAACUCUGGCUCUGCUUAAUCAAUCAAUCAAUCAAUAUUUAUUAAGCACUCACUGUGUGCCAGGUACUGAGCUAAGUGCUGACGGGAAAAAAAUAAAAAAUUAAAAGGCAAAAAACACUUCCUGCCCAGAGGAGUUCACAGUCUUAAGGGGGUUGGGAGUGGGGGAGAUAGGCCAAAUGCAAACAAAUAUAUACAAAGCAAGUUCUAUAUGGGAAAAGUAGGAAAUCAUUAACAGAGGGAAGGCGCCGGAACCAGGAGAGGCUGGAGAUGGUCUCUAGCCAUUUGAACAAGACUGGAGUCAAUUUUAAACCAUCAGAGAUGAGAUCCUCGGCAGAGACGAUCUGCUCCAACUGCACAUCUGACAGAUAGGGAGACGGAAAAAAGAAAGAAAAAGUCCCCAAACCCGAUUUGCUCCAGGUGAGUCAGGCCAAAGGAACAGAUGCCGAACCCACCAAGUCACGCGGACCAGGCUUCGCGGGAGCGACCCCCAGUCACCCGCUCUUAUUUCAUCCGCUGUCCUCUCCCCGUUCACACCGUCUGCUGGGCCAUUUCUGGAUUGGUUUUCCAUCAGGAAGCGCCAGUUCAGAAUCCGGCUCUCUGCUUCUGGACCUGGGGAGCAUGUUGGUUCCGUCCAGGGAGGGGCCGUGGAGUAAUUAAAAGCAAGGAGCCAGACAGUGAUCUCUUUGAGGACAGGGACCACGGGGUUUUUGCUUUUCCUCAUAAUCACAGGACCUGGCGCACAGUAGGUCCCUUGAAGUGAUCCUGCUGCUGAUGGGGGCGGGGGCUCAGGGAGAAGGGCUCGUUAUUAAUGGGACGGACAGCUGCCUCUGGGGGGGUCCGAUUCCGCGCCCGGCGAGCGGGUCUGUGCUUCUGUGUGCCUAGGACCGUGUGUGUGAGGGGGCCGGAGGCGUCGGGGGGACAUGUGAGCCGCCUUUGUCCCCACGGGUGGCCCUCCUCCCCGACCCAGGCCCGGGGGCUCCGGAGGGCGGCUCUCAAUUCCAGGGGGAAGUGAGAGGCCCCACCUGCUUCCCCACGCUCAGCCUGGGAGGAGCCCCGCAGCCGCCAGCACAGGACACAGGGCCGGUCCGAGGCCCUGCUCCCUGAGCGCUGGGAAGGCCACAGGCAGAGGCCCGCUCCCCGGGCUUGCCCCUCCGCUGGGCAGCUGCCCUUCCACGGGGCGCAACCCUCCUGAGUGCAUUUGCCACACUGAAGCAGCUCCGGCCGUCUCCCUAGCCCCUCCCUGGGACAAUUAUCCUGGAUGUCCUAGUGCUGGUGUGGGAGGCACUUAAGGACAGGGUGGAGGCAAGCAGGAGGGACCAUUGUUACCUGGGAGGGAACUGAGCCCCUGGAACCUGGAAUGGGAGGCUCAGAAGCUGGGUGGGGCUGAAGCCAGGAGCCCAUGGCCACAUUUGCAGCCAGAGAAUCUGAGAAAUGGGCAAAGGCUACAAAAACAAAUCAUUGUUAAUUAUCGAGGCUGGAAGUGAUGGAGAAAAUUUUAAUACUGCAGCUUAAGCUUACAAUUGUAUUAGGUUCCCACUCCCGCCCCCCCCCCCCAAAGCCAGUUGUUAAUCAUUUAUUUUCUUGGGCACUCCUGUCUAGAACAGAAAAUGUCAUAGUUAAGAGGGGUUUUUGGACAAAAGACUAUGCAGUGGUUCUCAAACUUUUGUUUUCAGUGUCUUUAUCCUGCUAAAAAUGAUUGAGGAUCUCUCCAAAGCGUUUUUGUUUAUCUGGGUUAUAUUUAUAGACAUUUACCAUAUUGGAAAUAAAAGCUAUUUAUGAAUUUGUAGACCCUCUAAAAGGGUUUUGGAGACCCCCAGGAUUCUCUAGACCAUACUUUGAGAACCACUGGUGUAGAGCUAGAAGGUGGUGAUGGCAGUGGUGGUACAUGGGGGGAGGGAAACUUCCUAAUAGUGAAUAUUUAUAUAACAUUUUAAGGUUGAAAAGUAUUUUAUGAUUCAUUAUUUCAUUUUCUCCCCACAAAAAGCCUGGCAUAGCUUUAAUCCCAUGAACGUUAUUUCAUUUUUACAAACCAGAGAACUGGAUGGGUCCAUUGCCCAAUUUGUUCCAUAGGCCCAUUGCUUUUUCAGUUGGUUUUCUUCUUUGUAAAAGAGCAGAUGUAGUCAUAUCUAUAGCUAUCUUUAUAUAUAAAUCUCCAUCUAUUUAUCUCUCUCUAUAGACUCUCAUAUAUAUUAUAUAUGUGUGUCUAUAUAGUGUGUGUAUCUCUUAUAUAUAAAACACACACACACACACACACAGAGGCCUGAUGUAUUUCUAGCAGUGUCUUAGCCCAGGGACCAGAGCAUAUUAAAACUAGAAGGGGCCUUCAAGACCACGGACUCAUGGUUGGGAGAAGAGGAAACAGAGAGAUGGGGAGUGAUUCAGUGGUUAAGCCAAGAAUGAAACUCAGGUUUCCUGAGCAGAACCUCUCAUGUUGUGGGGGAGGAAACGGGAUCCAGAGAAGUCACUUAUCCAAGGUCACACGGUGAGUCAGGGGCUGAGCUGGAAGGGGAACCCAGAUUUCCCGAGUCUGGGUGUGGCUGCCCCCGGCCCCGGCCCCCCCAGCCCCAGGCUCGGGACACCAGGACUGGAUUCUUUCUUGGCCUUGGGCCUCGGGCUUGCUUUUCCCCUUUGCCUCAUGGUCGAGUCCUGCAGGAAGAUCCACCAGGAUCAGGGAGGAGGCCGGUGGGCGGAUAAUGGAGUGUCUCAGAAGGGGACACUGGGGCCAGUGGCAGUGAGGGUGGUAUUAUUAUUAUUAUUACUACUACGCUCCUCAUCCUAGUCGUCCUUAUUAUGAUCAUUAUCUGCCGCAUAAUAGCCCUCCCUAAUUGUUUCCCCUCUCAGGGCCCGGGAGCAGGCAUGUGACUUCUAUGCAGGAGGAGGCCGGGAGUCCUGCCCUCCAGCCCCCUCCUCCCGGGAGGACUGACUGACCAUCCCUUCUCCUGGCUCCCCUAAGGCCUUCUGGGCCCCACCCUGUUCCCUCCUCCCCUGUGGCUCACCCGCCCUGUCCCAGGGGAGGAUGUGGUCACAGCCGGGCAGGGCAGAGUUGGCGAGCUUUGAUGUAGCUGUGGAAUAACAGCUUUUGGGAGCGGCCCCCACCCCACCCCGCAAGCCCCUCUCCCCACAGGACGGCGCAGGGGCCCAGGGGUCAUUUUGUUUCCUCCUGGGAAGGCCAGAGGAGGGACGGAGGGGGCCGGGAGGGGGGCCCGGGCUGAGGCCCGAGCCGGGGCUGCCCUCAGGGAGCUCCCCGUGAGGGGCAAACACCUGUGACCGUUCCCAAGUAGCCGGCCUGGGAAGCAACCUGGACCCACCUGUGGGGCAGCUCUGCCCGGGACUAAGAGGGAGCUUUCCUGGGGAGCGGACCUUCUGCUCUUGUGUCUGAGGGAUCUGAGGAGUCCCUGGGACUUCUGCCAGACCCCCCGACUCCUGAGUAUGUCCCAAGGACCCCAAAGAAGGGCCCCGAGUCCCCGGCCAGCCCUUGGCGCUCGGGCCCUGGUGACUGGCAGCCCAGCCCAGGGAGCCCUGGAGGGGUGCCAGGCAGGUGGGGCUAGCAGAGGGUGGAGGUGGGAGGGAGGCCUAGGCUUGCUGGGUGGGGGGCCUUGGAGCAGAAUCCACGGCCAUGUUGCAGGAGUUGGACCGGGAGAGCCUCCAGGGUGGGGAGAGGGAGGGAGCGCCAAGCUGGAAAGGGGGGACUCUGUCCCGGGCGGGCCGCCCGCCUCUCACAGAUGGGGACUCGGUCCGGAUCCCUUUUAAGGUGCCUCCCAGCUCUGCCAUUCCCAGUCUCGGGCCCGGCUCACCCGGCCUGGGGAGGCCUGUGCCCGGGCAGGACUUUGUCCUGGGGGAGCCAGAGGCUGUCUGCCGGGGCUGCCUGUAGAUAAGCAGAGGCAGGAAGGGGGGAGCAGGGGGUGGGAGGGGCUCUGGGGUGGGGCCCUGGGCGAAGGAGGGCAGCAGGUAGUCCUGCUUCUGGGCUCGGGGCCAGGGGGAGGAAGCUUCCCCAGGGAGGGGGGGCUGCAGAGAAGGCUGGUGGGGGCUGCGAGCGGGGAAGGGAGAGCUGCUCGUCUGCCCAGGGUCAGGCUGGGUGAGCGCUGGGAGCGUGUCCAAAACAAGCAGGAGGUUGGGGUGGGGGGGUGAGGAUUGCAACAGGGCCCAGAGCAGCCUGGCUGAGGGGCCCGGGGGUGUUUCGAAAGAAAUUCCUGACAUUGGACAAGAAACAAAAACUGGGCCUCAGGGAGAGCGGGUGGGGGCGGGGCGGUUCCUGGAGAAGGGGGGUCGGAGGCCAGCCGCCCGGCCGGCACCCUCUCUGGCCCGGCUUCUGGCCCCCUUGUCCCCACUCUGGGGCCCAGCCUGGCCCCGGCCCAGCUCUCCCGGGGACCGUCUCCCUGGGCUGGUAAGGCCCCGAGCAAGGGGCUGCGGGAACAGCUGUGACCUCUGGCCGGGCUGGGAGAGAGCUCAGACAGCCGGGCCCAGCUUCAGGUCGAGGGCACCUGAAGGAGGAGGAGGAGGGGGGAGGAAGUCAGGCUGUGGGGCCAGGCUGAGUAAGUCAUUGGGCGGGCAAGAAUUGGGGAGGGCAGGGGGCACCCCGCCCAGCUUCUGACAUGCUCCCCACCCCCACAGCUCAAGCCACACAACUCACACAUGGCUCAAGGGACAAACAGAGGACAGGAAGGGAGAAAGGAAAGGGUGGGGAGCCCGCUCUCACAGCACGCCCUGGGCCUGGCCGGCAGAGGACCCCCACUCUCCCCAGGAGCCGCAGGGCGGCCUCCCACCGGUUAGGCAGGGUCCCCUCGGGCAGCCCCCAGACCCAGCACAUUUCUGCACGGCCCGCGGGCCCGUUCUGGGUCCCCUCUGUGGUGGGGGAGCCAUGUGUGGUGGAGGCUAUGGGGAGGCAGGAGCUGGAAGGGGCUUUAGUGACAGAGGUCACAGAUGCUCAGGUCUAGAACCCAGGCCCUGCUUUCCACUAAGAUGAGGUGCUGAGAGAGAGGGGUUGGGAGGUGGGGGCGGAGCCUCUUCCUUCUACACCCCAGGGCCCCAGGAAACUGCAAUCCUGCCCAGUGUGGGCGGCGCCAUGCUGGCACAAGCCUCUGCCAGGGACUGCUGGGCUGGGGGGGGGUGGAGGUGUGGGGCAGGGCCCCUGGGAAAGGUAGGUGGUGGGGGGCCGGCAUAAGACAGGUUCAGCCUGGGGGCCGCUCUGUCCUAGAACCCUUCCCAGCCCCCAUUGAUAGAAAUGCUGAAUGAGAGACCGGAAAUAUGGGGGGAGGGAGGUGGGGAGAAAGGCUUCCGGUUUCCACGGCAACAGUCUCCUGGCGUGCUCUCCCUCCCCCAGCAGCUCCUCAGUGCUGACGUCACAACUGGGAGGGAGCCCCCGAUGUAGUUUCUUCCCUCCCCUUCCCCAUCCAAGCCCGGUUCCGGGGCAGCAGUCCCUGCCUCCAUUUCUGAGGACCCUCACCCUUAGCCGGCGGAUGAUGCCGAGGCAGGGCCCGGGGCCCUAAGCCUGGAAGGAGGCGGCACCGUGGCUCUCGGGCCCUAGAAGGAAUUAUUCAAAUAAGCCCCUUGUUGUGACGGGCAGGCCUGGGUCCUGGCCCCGCCCCCUUCGGGUAGCCCUGGCCAAUAGGAGACAUGGAUUGUCGCUGUGGCCCGAGAGCGGGCGGGGCCUGGCCGAAAUGGGCGGGACCUCUCGGAGGGGGGGAGGGGGGAGAGGAGGUCGCGCCCCAGAUAUCCCCUUCCCCUUUUAAGAUCCGGAUGGAUUCUCUCUGAUCGCCCUUCCCCCACUAAUGGACUCUCUCAGGGCACCCCACUGGUCCCCUAAUACAUCCAGCGAGACCUCUCUCCAUUAUGUCCACAUGGAUUUUCCCAGAAAAGAAGGGAACUGACUGGCUCAGACUCGCAGGCGGCAGAAGCUGGAUGGAAAUCCAGGUCCCUGCUCUCCAGGCCCAGGGAGUUUCUUCGUGAGCCCAGAAAGAGAUGGAGGGAUGGAGAGCUGCAGAGACAGAACCUGGGGACCCAGACAGAGGCAGGGCCACAGAGAAGCAGAGCCAGGCCGGGAGCAGGGAGAGGCAGAAAGGCAUCCCUCUCUGCCCCCUCCCCACAGGACAGCAGUGGCAGCUGGCAGCCCCUUCCCUCGCCAGCCAGAUUAAAUUGCAUCCCUUCCCCCGCCCAGCACGGCCGGGGGUGGUGUGAGGGGCCCCGUUCACCUGUGCCAGGUGACUCUCAGAUCUGCCCUGGCCCCUCUACACCUGAAAUUCCACACCCAUCCUCACCUUGGAAACGAGACUGCGGCAGGGGUGGGGGUGGGGAGAGAGGAUCUGCCUGGGAGGGCCUGUGGGGGAUGGGCUUGGGAAGGAGAAGGAGGAGGAGGGGAAGGAGAAGAUGGAAGAGGAGGAAGAAAAGGAGGCCUGGAAAAGAGGGGGCAGGGAGAGGAAGAAGGGGAGGAGGAGGAAGAGGAUGGAAGAUAAGAGAUCAGCCUCUUACUGGCUCAGGUUCCAGCCUCCCAUCCGGACCAGUUAGGUGACCCUGAGUAACAUUUAAUUUACUAUAUAUAGGACUUUGGUUCUAAAACCACAGCUGAAGUAGAUGGUGAAAGAUUAGAAUGUAAGCCACUCGAAGGUAA
Molecule: long non-coding RNA, 6675 nt
Organism: Antechinus flavipes (yellow-footed antechinus)
Lineage: Eukaryota; Metazoa; Chordata; Mammalia; Dasyuromorphia; Dasyuridae
Exons: 2
Source: RefSeq, a predicted model, not a curated record